CCUACGGGUGGCUGCAGUGGGGGAUAUUGCACAAUGGGGGGAACCCUGAUGCAGCGACGCCGCGUGGGUGAAGAAGCGCCUCGGCGCGUAAAGCCCUGUCAGCAGGGAAGCAAAUGACGGUACCUGAAGAAGAAGCCCCGGCUAACUACGUGCCAGCAGCCGCGGUAAUACGUAGGGGGCAAGCGUUAUCCGGAUUUACUGGGUGUAAAGGGAGCGUAGACGGAAAGGCAAGUCAGAAGUGAAAGCCCAAGGCUCAACCAUGGGACUGCUUUUGAAACUGUCAAACUAGAGUACGGGAGAGGUAAGAGGAAUUCCUAGUGUAGCGGUGAAAUGCGUAGAUAUUAGGAGGAACACCAGUGGCGAAGGCGUCUUACUGGACCGAAACUGACGUUGAGGCUCGAAAGCGUGGGGAGCAAACAGGAUUAGAUACCCGGGUAGUC
RNAcentral lists this ribosomal RNA (440 nucleotides) under uncultured bacterium. Its description in RNAcentral is "partial 16S ribosomal RNA". It matches the Rfam family "Bacterial small subunit ribosomal RNA", at positions 338 to 795 of the family's 1533-position model. The record is from RNAcentral.